This 492-nucleotide ribosomal RNA is filed under the name uncultured bacterium. RNAcentral describes it as "partial 16S ribosomal RNA". It matches the Rfam family "Bacterial small subunit ribosomal RNA", at positions 29 to 507 of the family's 1533-position model. The record is from RNAcentral.
AGUGAACGCUGGCGGUAGGCCUAACACAUGCAAGUCGAACGGCAGCACAGUAAGAGCUUGCUCUUACGGGUGGCGAGUGGCGGACGGGUGAGGAAUACAUCGGAAUCUACUUUUUCGUGGGGGAUAACGUAGGGAAACUUACGCUAAUACCGCAUACGACCUACGGGUGAAAGCAGGGGAUCUUCGGACCUUGCGCGAUUGAAUGAGCCGAUGUCGGAUUAGCUAGUUGGCGGGGUAAAGGCCCACCAAGGCGACGAUUCGUAGCUGGUCUGAGAGGAUGAUCAGCCACACUGGAACUGAGACACGGUCCAGACUCCUACGGGAGGCAGCAGUGGGGAAUAUUGGACAAUGGGCGCAAGCCUGAUCCAGCCAUACCGCGUGGGUGAAGAAGGCCUUCGGGUUGUAAAGCCCUUUUGUUGGGAAAGAAAAGCAGCAGGUUAAUACCCCGCUGUUCUGACGGUACCCAAAGAAUAAGCACCGGCUAACUUCGCG